RNAcentral lists this unclassified non-coding RNA (293 nucleotides) under Hevea brasiliensis (rubber tree). The record is from RNAcentral. Lineage: Eukaryota; Viridiplantae; Streptophyta; Magnoliopsida; Malpighiales; Euphorbiaceae.
CACGUGGUUCCAAGAUUGCAAGAGAAUGGCCUAUGGGAUGGCUAUGAAACAUCGUGUGCCAUCGCCAGUAGCACUGCAGCUCGUGGUGGGCUGCAACAUCAUCGGCAAUGACUGUAGAUGGUUUUUUUUUUAGCCGGUGUGAAUGGGUCUCCAGCAUGAAUGGGUCUCCCAAUGUUCUACAUGAAUAAGGAGGAAGAAAGUCAUGAGAUUGUUGCCCUUUGAUGUAUUUACAAGAAUGCCAUUUAAAGUGUUGCCCUUUGUAUUCAACCAAAUUACAAAUAUGCCAUUUUCCC